CCUGCCCAGUGACGUACGCGUUAAACGGCCGCGGUAUCCUGACCGUGCUAAGGUAGCAUAAUCACUUGCCUUUUAAUUGGAGGCUUGUAUGAAUGGAUAGACGAGAGAUUUACUGUCUCAUCAAAACCCCUAAAAAUUGACCUUCAGGUGAAGAGACCUGAAUUUUAUAAAAAGACGAAAAGACCCUGUGGAGCUUUACUACUAGUAAUUUACCUCUACAAAAAGUAAAGUUUAAGUUACAUAAGUUUAGUUGGGGCGACUUAGGAGCACUACAAAGCCUCCUUUCAGUUUAAGGAUAUACUCCUACUAAAUAUCCACACACGUGAAUAAAAAACUAGCUACCCCAGGGAUAACAGGCUAAUCCCUCUCAAGAGCCCAAAUCGACAGGGGGGGUUGGCACCUCGAUGUUGGCUUAAGACACCUCCAAGGUGCAGCAGCUUUGGUAGUAGGUUUGUUCAACCUUUAAAGUCUUACGUGAUCUGAG
This 484-nucleotide ribosomal RNA is filed under the name Spionidae sp. C ZW-2021. RNAcentral's name for it is "partial large subunit ribosomal RNA". It matches the Rfam family "Bacterial large subunit ribosomal RNA", at positions 1858 to 2609 of the family's 2925-position model. The record is from RNAcentral. Lineage: Eukaryota; Metazoa; Annelida; Polychaeta; Spionida; Spionidae.